Pseudoalteromonas haloplanktis is the source of this 52-nucleotide regulatory RNA element. It matches the Rfam family "L31-Gammaproteobacteria ribosomal protein leader". NCBI's taxonomy places the organism in Bacteria, Pseudomonadati, Pseudomonadota, Gammaproteobacteria, Alteromonadales, Pseudoalteromonadaceae. The record is from Rfam.
CGUAUGGUGCCAGACUCCGGGUUUGGAGAGCGAUGCGGCCUUAACUAGAGGU